UGCGUUCUCCCCAGAGGUGAAGAACUUGAAGUAGGUGCAGUUGGAUUCUGUGGGUACAAACAGAAGAUAAGACAAAGACACACACACACAUACACACACACACACACCUCUGCGUGCACACACACACAUACGUCUCAUACCACUGCACAUAAGGUGCAGCCAGAGACAGCGAGAGACAGCAAAACGUUAGGAUGAAUAGCAGAGAGGAGUAAGAGAGGAAGACUGAGAGAAUGGUGCGUAUUGUGACAAGGAGACGUGUGGCGGCAGAGGGAAAGAAAACAAGAAGAAGAGUUCAAAGGAUGGGAUAUAAGCGAAUAUGGAGGAGUGCGUUUCAGGCAGAUGGAGGGGUGGUGAAUGAAGGCAAGGAUAGAGGAGAGCCACAGAUGGAGAAGGAGGUGAAGGGAGGAGGAUAAGUCAGGAGGGAGAGAAAACACAGAGGGGUUGGUUAAUACUGCAUUAGACACACACUCUCUCUCUCUCUCUCUCUCUCUCUGUCUCUCUGUCUGUCUGUAUGUCUGUCCCUCUUCCUUGCCCCCCCCUCCCACUCUCUAUAUUUAGACAAAAACUGUGAAGUAGUCAGAUUCCACUUGGCUUCACAGGCGCAUAGUGAUGAUUUUAACCCACAGAAAAAAAA
Long non-coding RNA from Poecilia latipinna (sailfin molly), 634 nucleotides. RefSeq lists it as uncharacterized. The record is from RefSeq and is a predicted model, not a curated record. The transcript is spliced from 2 exons. NCBI's taxonomy places the organism in Eukaryota, Metazoa, Chordata, Actinopteri, Cyprinodontiformes, Poeciliidae.